Molecule: ribosomal RNA, 253 nt
Filed under: uncultured bacterium
Lineage: Bacteria
Description: partial 16S ribosomal RNA
Rfam family: Bacterial small subunit ribosomal RNA
Source: RNAcentral
UACGUAGGGUGCAAGCGUUGUCCGGAAUUAUUGGGCGUAAAGAGCUCGUAGGCGGUCUGUUGCGUCGGGAGUGAAAACUUACAGCUUAACUGUGAGCGUGCUUUCGAUACGGGCAGACUUGAGGCAUUCAGGGGAGAACGGAAUUCCUGGUGUAGCGGUGAAAUGCGCAGAUAUCAGGAGGAACACCGGUGGCGAAGGCGGUUCUCUGGGAAUGUUCUGACGCUGAGGAGCGAAAGUGUGGGGAGCGAACAGG